GAUGAACGCUGGCGGCGUGCCUAAUACAUGCAAGUCUAGCGAACAGACGAGGAGCUUGCUCCUUUGACGUUAGCGGCGGACGGGUGAGUAACACGUAGGUAACCUACCUAUAAGACUGGGAUAACUUCGGGAAACCGGAGCUAAUACCGGAUAAUAUUUCGAACCGCAUGGUUCGAUAGUGAAAGAUGGCUUUGCUAUCACUUAUAGAUGGACCUGCGCCGUAUUAGCUAGUUGGUAAGGUAACGGCUUACCAAGGCAACGAUACGUAGCCGACCUGAGAGGGUGAUCGGCCACACUGGAACUGAGACACGGUCCAGACUCCUACGGGAGGCAGCAGUAGGGAAUCUUCCGCAAUGGGCGAAAGCCUGACGGAGCAACGCCGCGUGAGUGAUGAAGGUCUUCGGAUCGUAAAACUCUGUUAUUAGGGAAGAACAAACGUGUAAGUAACUGUGCACGUCUUGACGGUACCUAAUCAGAAAGCCACGGCUAACUACGUG
RNAcentral lists this ribosomal RNA (497 nucleotides) under uncultured bacterium. Its description in RNAcentral is "partial 16S ribosomal RNA". It matches the Rfam family "Bacterial small subunit ribosomal RNA", at positions 28 to 507 of the family's 1533-position model. The record is from RNAcentral.